This is a long non-coding RNA of Oncorhynchus tshawytscha (Chinook salmon), 1042 nucleotides long. The record is from Ensembl. Lineage: Eukaryota; Metazoa; Chordata; Actinopteri; Salmoniformes; Salmonidae.
CCAGGCUAUGUGGGGUGGCCAGUCCUCUUCUGGCUGUGCCGGGUGGAGAUUAUAACAGAACAUGGCCAAGAUGUUCAAAUGUUCAUAAAUGAUCAGCAUGGUCGAAUAAUAAUAAGGCAGAACAGUUGAACCUGGGGCAGCAGCACAGUCAGGUGGAAGUUGAAACUGGAGCAGCAGCAUGGCCAGGUGGACUGGGGACAGCAAGGAGUCAUCAUGUCAGGUAGUCCUGGGGCAUGGUCCUAGGGCUCAGGUCCUCCGAGAGAGAGAAAGAAAGAGAGAAGGAGAGAAUUAGAGAACGCACACUUAGAUUCACACAGGACACCGAAUAGGACAGGAGAAGUACUCCAGAUAUAACAAACUAACCCCAGCCCCCCGACACAUAAACUACUGCAGCAUAAAUACUGGAGGCUGAGACAGGAGGGGUCAGGAGACACUGUGGCCCCAUCCGAGGACACCCCCAGACAGGGCCAAACAGGAAGGAUAUAACCCCACCCACUUUGCCAAAGCACAGCCCCCACACCACUAGAGGGAUAUCUUCAACCACCAACUUACCAUCCUGAGACAAGGCUGAGUAUAGCCCACAAAGACCUCCGCCACGGCACAACCCAAGGGGGGGGCGCCAACCCAGACAGGAUGACCACAACAGUGAAUCAACCCACUCAGGUGACGCACCCCCUCCAGGGACGGCAUGAGAGAGCCCCAGUAAGCCAGUGACUCAGCCCCUGUAAUAGGGUUAGAGGCAGAGAAUCCCAGUGGGAAGAGGGGAACCGGCUAGGCAGAGACAGCAAGGGCGGUUCGUUGCUCCAGAGCCUUUCCGUUCACCUUCCCACUCCUGGGCCAGACUACACUCAAUCAUAUGACCCACUGAAGAGAUGAGUCUUCAGUAAAGACUUAAAGGUUGAGACCGAGUUUGCGUCUCUGACAUGGGUAGGCAGACCGUUCCAUAAAAAUGGAGCUCUAUAGGAGAAAGCCCUGCCUCCAGCUGUUUGCUUAGAAAUUCUAGAGACAAUUAGGAGGCCUGCGUCUUGUGACCGUAGCGUAC